UACUACCUUGUAUUCCUAAAAUUUGACCCUAAUUCUAUACCUUUUUCGUUAAUUUUAUGAGGUAUAAAAAGAUUUUAUUUUUCUUAAUUGAUUUCUCUAAUCCUUGAUGAAAUGGAUAAAAAAGAGAAAAAAGUGAAGCUUGAAUGUGCUUGGAAAUAAACAUGAACAAAACCUGCAGUGUAUUACAACAACAACAACACUGCAGUGUAUUACAAUUGAUCAAAAAAAAUUAAGAAAGAGACUACAUUAAUGAAAAACUCACUGUUGAUAGUGA
RNAcentral lists this long non-coding RNA (274 nucleotides) under Nicotiana benthamiana. Its description in RNAcentral is "long non-coding RNA (NBEN_LNC005410)". Lineage: Eukaryota; Viridiplantae; Streptophyta; Magnoliopsida; Solanales; Solanaceae. The record is from RNAcentral.